Molecule: long non-coding RNA, 939 nt
Filed under: Chloebia gouldiae (Gouldian finch)
Lineage: Eukaryota; Metazoa; Chordata; Aves; Passeriformes; Passeridae
Description: Erythrura gouldiae (Gouldian finch) lncRNA (ENSEGOG00005011678.1)
Source: RNAcentral
CUACUCUGAAAUUAUUUGAGUGAUCACUGCUUGUUUUUCCUCUUCUAAAACACAGCUAAUUAGCAUCCUGGUUAAUUUUGGAUUUAGUGAUCAUGAUGGAAGACAUGGGUCUUACUGUGAGAAGAAGCAAGGCCUCCUUUGGAGCAUGAAGUAGGAGAGAGGUCUCAAAAUACAAAGGAGAAGAGACUUGCAGAGCCAGCACCAUAUUUUGGGACAAAAAAGUGAAUUACAGAGUAAGGAAGAAAGCGUGGAUAUGAAGGCAAGACAGGACAAAGAUGCAAGGCAGCAGGAAUUGUGUUAAGACGUGAAACCAGGAGGUCCUGCUAAAUUUAGAAGAGCUGAAGAGGAAAGAAUAACAUGAAGUAGAAGUACCAAGCAGGAAAGGAAAAGAUUGCAGCACUCAGCUUGGGACAGAGUAUGAACUUGUGGGUGCAGCACCUGUGAACUCAGACACCUUGACAACAAUCUGCCAGACGCAUUCUUGAUGGGAUGGGGGAGACCCAGACAACACAAACUCUCAGAAGGAGAAGAGUGAACAAAGCACAAGGCAGUGAUGGCAACCAAAACAGAUGAGAAGACUUUUGAGCUGCAGGGACUCAUCCCGUCUGACUGUGGUGGUGUGUGGGGAGCAGACCCCUCAGCGGUGGCCAGUGGUCCUGGAGUGUGGCGAGGAGGCACCAGGAGUCCAACACCCACUUCCUCCUCCUGCCAGUUCUGGUAGCUGUGCCCUGCCUGCCCGGUGGUCCCAUCACCAGCUCCUCACUCCCACUCGUUCCUGGAAUGUGGGAGUGCAUCACUACUGAGAGGUGAAACACAAGACUGCAGUUUUGUGUCCCCUGUUCCAUGGACAGGGCACAUUCUGUCCUGCGGAUGCAGGUGUGUGUCUGUGUUUGAGCUCUGCUUGAAUAAACAGGAGAGGGGAAGCUGGAGGGAGGCCCA